Triticum dicoccoides is the source of this 3491-nucleotide long non-coding RNA. RefSeq lists it as uncharacterized. NCBI's taxonomy places the organism in Eukaryota, Viridiplantae, Streptophyta, Magnoliopsida, Poales, Poaceae. The record is from RefSeq and is a predicted model, not a curated record. The transcript has 3 exons.
UUAAAGGAAAGCUCAACAGGAGAGCUGUCCAUGUUCAAUGAUACAGGAAGUGGGGCAGGGAGAGGAGAACGGAAUGCAAAAGCCAACUCCCGAAGGGAGAGCCUUCUUCCAAAAUCUGCCUAACCAAAGAAUAGCGGGAUAAGCUCUGUAUGAGCUGUUGAUGGCUGACAAUGGAAGCAGCGGUAGUGCGCCUCCCGACUACCUCGACUUGUGUGCCGUGAAUAUGGCGAUCGCGGCGGCGGGGAGAACGGCGCAACCGUUGCCUAGCAAAGCUUGGUCGGCUGCAUGCGUGCCGUGCGGCCGUCCGGCUUACGGCCGCAGCUCUGGGCUGGCGCUGGCCAUGGCCUGAGCCGUCGCGCUGGCACGGCCUGCUACGGCAUAGCUGGUUGGACAAGCGAUGGUCGGGAAGGUCGAAAAGGCACCCAUAAGGCUUUGUUUGUGGGCGCUCUGGGGCAUGAUAAGAGGUUCUCACCGGCUAGGAUGCAUUUGAUGAUUAAACAACAUCAGAAUGGAUGCUAUUACUUACUAGGGCUGUGCUACCCAGCGUUCAAAGCACCCAGGAUUUUUGGGUGUACACUUUUAGUUUGUUAGAAUAAAAUCAUCUAUUGAUUACCAAAUAUGACAUAUGGACUUUACAUCCUGAAUUUUUGCAUACAUAUGGACUUUACAUGCUGAAGCCGCAAGAUUCUACCUGAAUUGGAAUUUCGACAUUAAACCAAGUUUCUAAACUGAAACUCCGUUUUUACCAUUGUCUUUACCAUGAGGGCGAGCUCAAAGUUAGCCUCUGCAUGGACGUGUUUCUAGCAGAUUUUUAUUUUUGUGCACUUUACUACCUGUCUAUUGCCUUUCAGUUCGCACGGUCCGAUGCCUUCUUUCUAGUUAUCUUACUUAUUUGUAUCUUGCUUGGAGUCUGUUUAGGAGCUAAGUACUCCCUCCGUCAGGAUACAUCCCUUUUUAUCCAUUUUGAUGACAAGUAUUUCCGGACGAAGGGAGUACUAGUUUUACCUUUUUACAAAAAGAUUGGAAAGAAUUCUGCAAGCCUCUAAUAUGCAAAGGUAUGGAACCUAAAACUUAGAUUUCAAUCAUUUCCUUAGUGUACCUUAUCUCUAUUGGUGUACUGCGUCCAUCAAUUGUAUUUUUCUUCGAAGAUCAGAGCUCCAAUAACAAUUUCUGGUUACCUUAUGCCUCUUCACUGCUCUCUCUCUCUUGUCUUUCAUUCAUACUCCCUCCAUUCCAAAAUAAAUGUUGUGGUUUUAAUUCAAAUUGGUAUUCCACCUCUUGCUUGCUUCUAGUCCAAAGGUGAAAUCCAUAGUAAUAGUUGGUUGUAUUCGACACUUACUUUUGAAACGAAGGGAGUUAAAGUGCUCUUUUGUUCCCCGAGUUCACAUGCUCUCUCAUGAACAGUAAAAUUGAAAACAACAGUAAAAAGUUCAAAAGAAUAAGUUUUUUUUGUAAUAAACAUUUAUAAAUGUUUUCAUUGUCUGCAAAAAAUUGUGAUGAAAUGACAAUCGUGGAAAUGUGGGGAAAAUAAACAGAAUCGAUGCUCCAAAAUGCUUCCAACAAUAGUCUUUUCGAGGCAUAGAUUUUUUGCCCACAUUUCCCCAAAUGUCAUUUCGCAAAAAAAAAAUUUUGCGUGCAAUGAAAACAUUCAUCAAUGUUCAUCACAAACAAAAUCAGAAAAUUUUUCAAUUUUUUUAUUUUUUUCGAUUUUACUGUUUAUGAGGGAGCAUAUGAGCUCGCGUGCAAAACCUCCACGUCCGUACAUAACAACUUAUACUAUAGGACAAAGAGAGUACAACUCCCGUAGAAUAGCAAAGUCCGGGUACCACAGGGGUGGCAACAGGGGUGUUAGAGCAUCUACAACCAUAACUCGCAGAUUUCGUCAUCCAAAUGCCCGUGGACGUGCCUGGGCACGUUCGCGGACAGUGACCGAACAACAGACUAAAAAUCCUUUUCACAACCGGAUGCCACAAUAAAGAAUCCUCAAAUCCAUACAAUACAUGCACGUGAAACCUAAUCUUAAGUGGAGCCCGCCCGGUUUCGUUGUGCCCAUGUCCGGCGGUUGGCUACGUCCCUCGAAGUGUUGGUACGAUCACCGACGAGGUAGAGUAGGACAUGAGAGACGCACCGGCUCAGACUCAAGGCGUCGUCGUCUCCCAUGCCCUACUCUUGUCGGAGCAUGAGCAUGGGCAUGUCGCCAGCGAGGUAGAGUAGGAAAUGGUCAACAAUGGCUAAAAAUUUGAAAUGGGAUGGCCAAAGAGGCAUUGGCAGAGCAUAAUUGGUUUGAUUGGUAUUGUCAAUAUUUGAAAAAAAAUCUUAAGUUGCCAAAAGUUGACAAUAAAAUUUGGUAGCAAACCACUAGCCAUCAUUUGACAUUUUUGGCAAAAUAUUGGCAUGCCAACUUUUGACAUCUAACCACUGGAAAAAAAAAUAGCGCUCUAUAGCAUCAUUGAUAGCACGUUGUAGCGUUUUGAGCAAUGUCUCUCCAAAUAAACUAGUGUACAAAAGUAUCUCGCUAAUAGCGCAUUUUAAGAGUGGCGCUAUUUUGCUAUUGCAGAUCAUUGGGAAAGGGGUUUUGGUGAACAAAUAUAGACUAUUUCUUUUGUCAUGACCAGAACAUUGGUGAAGAGGGUUUUGGCCACCAUCCAAACACACCCUAACUUCUGCCAAUUAUGCCGGUUACCUAGGAUCAACACAAAGAUGAUCGAGCAUACCAGUAAAACUAGCAAUCAACGUAAAUUUAGCUCAGGUGAACUCUACACGAUACACAUGGACCUCUAUCCGGACUCAGGGUUGGCCACCCAACAAUUUGCGGGAGAAGCCUGUGGCUUGCUGGUUGGCAACGACAGUGGCCACGCAGCACCCCCAAUGUUUGAUAUGUUGGAUCGCCUUAGGUGUCUCACUCAGGUGUUUUAGUUUGCAGCUAUCUCACAGGCCUUCGGGCCACAGCAUGCCCACCGUUCAUGGAGUUGAAUGGCUUCGGAAGUUUCCUCAAGACGCAUUGCGUUGUAGAUCUAGUUAGGCACAUCGCCGAUAUGUGUGGGUGUUCUGCAUCUGAUCAAAUACUAAAGAGAAACAAUGUUUUGACAAAUUAUUAAGCCAAGUGGGCUUUUUUGUUCAUCUGCUAUUUACUUUUCUGGCGUACAGGUUCACAUAAAUCUGAGAUGAUAAGGAUUUAUCAGGCAGGAGCCAUGCCAUGCCAGCAAAGAGUUGCAACAAUGCAUCAGCGGGAACAGUAUUACAGUACUUGGACUUGCUUCAAAAAUUACCUUUUUUUUUGCAGUACUUGAGCGGCCUCAGUUUGAUAAUACAAGAACCGUUGUUAGCAUUUCUACAACAUGAAGACAAGUACCGCACCAAACUAAAAUCUAUACUUCAUUCAAAAUAAAUAAGGAUGGCUAUGAUGGACCAGGAGGCAGAGUUCAGAGAAUCUGGUGGAUAGUAGUUAUUGUUUGCUCCCAGUUACUGUAAUAUCGAUGUUAUGUGUAGCA